RNAcentral lists this long non-coding RNA (355 nucleotides) under Macaca mulatta (Rhesus monkey). RNAcentral describes it as "lncRNA (ENSMMUG00000054873.1)". Lineage: Eukaryota; Metazoa; Chordata; Mammalia; Primates; Cercopithecidae. The record is from RNAcentral.
UUGCUGUUUUUGUUUUUUUUUUUUUUCAUAAUAACAUUUAUAUCAUUUUUUUGUAUUUGUCGGUGCAGAUCAUUUCAGUGUCCUGUACUUACUGGCGUCUCCAGUGAACAACGUAUUUUACUUGAUUCUUCCCUAAGCGGGCAGAAAUGUAAUUGUAGAUGUUCUCUGCAGUUGCUGAAUUUUCUUCAAGAAUACAACACACACAUGCAGAAGACUGAGGGAGAAGAAAAACAAAUUAAAAUAUUUAGAGAGCAACAAAAGAGAUGGCAACAAGAGAGAGUCAUUAGCAGACAGCAACUGAAAGGGAUUAAGCAAUUAAUCUCUUCAUGAGCAAUUCAUGAAGGUCUGUUCCAUU